GAUGAACGCUGGCGGCGUGCUUAACACAUGCAAGUCGAACGGAAAGGCUCCUGCUUGCCGGGGUACUCGAGUGGCGAACGGGUGAGUAACACGUGGGUGAUCUGCCCUGUACUUCGGGAUAAGCUUGGGAAACUGGGUCUAAUACCGGAUAGGACAACUUUUUGGAUAUUGUUGUGGAAAGCUUUUGCGGUAUGGGAUGAGCUCGCGGCCUAUCAGCUUGUUGGUGGGGUAAUGGCCUACCAAGGCGUCGACGGGUAGCCGGCCUGAGAGGGUGUACGGCCACAUUGGGACUGAGAUACGGCCCAAACUCCUACGGGAGGCAGCAGUGGGGAAUAUUGCACAAUGGGCGCAAGCCUGAUGCAGCGACGCCGCGUGGGGGAUGAAGGCCUUCGGGUUGUAAACUCCUUUCGCUAGGGACGAAGCUUUUUUGUGACGGUACCUGGAGAAGAAGCACCGGCUAACUACGUG
Molecule: ribosomal RNA, 468 nt
Filed under: uncultured bacterium
Lineage: Bacteria
Description: partial 16S ribosomal RNA
Rfam family: Bacterial small subunit ribosomal RNA
Source: RNAcentral